This 520-nucleotide ribosomal RNA is filed under the name uncultured Archaeospora. Its description in RNAcentral is "SSU rRNA". It matches the Rfam family "Eukaryotic small subunit ribosomal RNA", at positions 569 to 1094 of the family's 1831-position model. Lineage: Eukaryota; Fungi; Glomeromycota; Glomeromycetes; Archaeosporales; Archaeosporaceae. The record is from RNAcentral.
AGCAGCCGCGGUAAUUCCAGCUCCAAUAGCGUAUAUUAAAGUUGUUGCAGUUAAAAAGCUCGUAGUUGAAUUUUGGGUUUGGCCGAUUGGUCCGUUCUUGUAACGAGUACUGGUCGGUUGGGCCUCACCGCUUGGUGAUGCGCAAUGCCCUUUAUUGGGUGUUGCGAGUAGCCAAGACCUUUACCUUGAAAAAAUUAGAGUGUUUAAAGCAGGCAUAUGCCGGAAUACAUUAGCAUGGAAUAAUAGAAUAGGACAACGAUUCUAUUUUGUUGGUUUCUAGGACCGUUGUAAUGAUUAAUAGGGAUAGUUGGGGGCAUUAGUAUUCAAUUGUCAGAGGUGAAAUUCUUGGAUUUAUUGAAGACUAACUACUGCGAAAGCAUUUGCCAAGGAUGUUUUCAUUAAUCAAGAACGAAAGUUAGGGGAUCGAAGACGAUCAAAUACCGUCGUAGUCUUAACCAUAAACUAUGCCGACUAGGGAUCGGGCGAAGUUGUUUCAAUGACUCGCUCGGCACCUUAUGGG